Molecule: non-coding RNA, 497 nt
Organism: Macaca mulatta (Rhesus monkey)
Lineage: Eukaryota; Metazoa; Chordata; Mammalia; Primates; Cercopithecidae
Source: RefSeq, a predicted model, not a curated record
CUGUGUGUGCAGAUGUGUGUGUGUCUGUGUGCACAGAUGUGUGUGCAGACAUGCAUGUGUGUGCAGUUGUGUGUGUGCAGGAGUGUGUCUGUGCGCGCAGAUGUGUGUGGGACUCACACCUGAGCUGUUCGACGGGGCCACUCUUUGGAGACGAGGUCAGGAGCCAAUGAACUCACGGAGUAAUUGCAAGUUUCCCAAUCCUAUGAAUGAGGAAGCGGAGGAGGGAGGGGCAGGGAGGGCAUGAGGAGACACAGAACAGCUCUGAAGGGAGCUACCCAGACGCGGGAGUGUCCGAGAGAAAAGCAAGUGAAAGGAAAGGAAGCGGAUGCCGCGGGUUUACAGCAGGAAAAGCCGUGGAGACAGCCGAUUCGAGAAGCGGAGAUGCUUGCGUAGAACCCUCUCUUCCCUUCUCUCUGGCCAGCAGCAUGUUUCUCCUGGUCACAAGCCUUGUACUGUGUGAGCUGCUGCAGCCAGCAUUCCUCCUGAUCCCAGAGAAA